RNAcentral lists this transfer RNA (71 nucleotides) under human gut metagenome. It matches the Rfam family "tRNA". Rfam says of the family: Transfer RNA (tRNA) molecules are approximately 80 nucleotides in length. Their secondary structure includes four short double-helical elements and three loops (D, anti-codon, and T loops). The record is from RNAcentral.
AGGUAUAGCUCAGCUGGUUAGAGCGCUUGCUUGACAUGCAAGAGGUCACUGGUUCGAAUCCAGUUAUCUUC